Mesitornis unicolor (brown roatelo) is the source of this 566-nucleotide non-coding RNA. The record is from the annotation of a RefSeq genome assembly. NCBI's taxonomy places the organism in Eukaryota, Metazoa, Chordata, Aves, Mesitornithiformes, Mesitornithidae.
CACUUGUAUACAGUGAAUACAAGUCUCUGGAAAAAGUCUCUGGAACUGACACAAAGCUUAUUGUUUCUGAUAAAGCAAAUUCUCCACCAGCAAGCUCUGAAAUCCUGCAGAAGACACAUGGAAGUCAAAUAACGUAUGUUUGCCUUAUUGAGAAAUUCUACCCCAACGUUAUUCGGGUGACAUGGACUGAUGGAGAAAAUAAGGAGGUAACAGACAACGUAGUAAAAGGAGACAUUUGGAAAUCCACAGAAGAGGAGAAAUACUCAGUUGGUAGCUGGUUAACUGUACCAGUGGAGAACAAAAACAAGAACUAUUUCUGCAAUUAUGAGCAUGAAAGCCAACAGCACUCACUGCUGACACAAGAUUCUACAAAGACUCUUCAGGAAGGGGACUGCAGCACAUAUCCUGGAAACCGUACAGUGUUUAAUAAAGAUCACUUAAUGCACAGGACAGCAUAUUUAGUGUAUGUUGCCCUUCUUCUGAAAAGCUCCAUGUACUAUCUCAUCGUACUCGUCUUCAUCUACAGAAUGUGGGCUCCAAUGAAGCACCAAGGAAAGAAAGCAUAA